RNAcentral lists this ribosomal RNA (465 nucleotides) under uncultured bacterium. RNAcentral's name for it is "partial 16S ribosomal RNA". It matches the Rfam family "Bacterial small subunit ribosomal RNA", at positions 338 to 795 of the family's 1533-position model. The record is from RNAcentral.
CCUACGGGAGGCUGCAGUAGGGAAUCUUCCACAAUGGGCGAAAGCCUGAUGGAGCAACGCCGCGUGGGUGAAGAAGGUCUUCGGCUCGUAAAGCCCUGUUGUUAGGGAAGAAGGUGCGUGAGACUAACUGUUCACGUUUCGACUGUAUCUGUCCAGACAGCCGCGGCUAACUACGUGCCAGGAGCCGCGGUAAUACGUAGGUGGCAAGCGUUAUCCGGAUGUAGUGGGCGUAAAGGGAACGCAGGCGGUCUGUUAAGUCUGAGGUGAAAGCCUUCGGCUUAACCGGAGGAGUGCAUUGGAAACUGGGAGACUGGAGUGCAGAAGAGGAGAGUGGAACUCCAGGUGUAGCGGUGAAAUGCGUAGAUAUAUGGAAGAACACCAGUGGCGAAAGCGGCUCACUGGACUGUAACUGACGCUGAGGUUCGAAAGCGUGGGUAGCAAACAGGAUUAGAUACCCUUGUAGUC